CGGUUUAAGCAUGUAGGCUGGUUGUCCAGGCAAAUCCGGAUAAUCAAGGCUGAGGUGUGAUGACGAGGCACUACGGUGCUGAAGUAACAAAUGCCCUGCUUCCAGGAAAAGCCUCUAAGCAUCAGGUAACAUCAAAUCGUACCCCAAACCGACACAGGUGGUCAGGUAGAGAAUACCAAGGCGCUUGAGAGAACUCGGGUGAAGGAACUAGGCAAAAUGGUGCCGUAACUUCGGGAGAAGGCACGCUGGUGUGUAGGUGAAGUCCCUGCGGAUGGAGCUGAGACCAGUCGAAGAUACCAGCUGGCUGCAACUGUUUAUUAAAAACACAGCACUGUGCAAACACGAAAGUGGACG
This 354-nucleotide ribosomal RNA is filed under the name Pseudomonas aeruginosa. RNAcentral's name for it is "partial 23S ribosomal RNA". It matches the Rfam family "Bacterial large subunit ribosomal RNA", at positions 1508 to 1843 of the family's 2925-position model. Lineage: Bacteria; Pseudomonadati; Pseudomonadota; Gammaproteobacteria; Pseudomonadales; Pseudomonadaceae. The record is from RNAcentral.